Molecule: ribosomal RNA, 324 nt
Filed under: uncultured eukaryote
Lineage: Eukaryota
Description: partial 18S ribosomal RNA
Rfam family: Eukaryotic small subunit ribosomal RNA
Source: RNAcentral
CCCUUAGAUGUUCUGGGCCGCACGCGCGCUACACUGAUGCAUUCAACGAGUUUCUUCCUGGUCCGAGAGGAAUGGGUAACCUUUUGAAAGUGCAUCGUGAUAGGGAUAGACUAUUGCAAUUAUUGGUCUUCAACGAGGAAUUCCUAGUAGACGUAGUUAAUCAGACUGCAUCGAUUACGUCCCUGCCCUUUGUACACACCGCCCGUCGCUCCUACCGAUUGAAUGCUCAGGUGAGCCAUUCGGACUUUCAUCAUGCUGGUUUCCAGUUUUGAUGAAGGAAAGUCUUGCGAACCUUAUCAUUUAGAGGAAGGAGAAGUCGUAACA